Molecule: ribosomal RNA, 411 nt
Filed under: uncultured Treponema sp.
Lineage: Bacteria; Pseudomonadati; Spirochaetota; Spirochaetia; Treponematales; Treponemataceae
Description: bacterial SSU rRNA
Rfam family: Bacterial small subunit ribosomal RNA
Source: RNAcentral
CUAAGAAUAUUCCGCAAUGGAGGAAACUCUGACGGAGCGACGCCGCGUGGAUGAUGAAGGUCGGAAGAUUGUAAAAAUCCUUUUAUGACUGAGGAAUAAGCCGGGUGAGAGAAACGCCUGGUGGUGACUGUAGGUCAUGAAUAAGCAACGGCUAAUUACGUGCCAGCAGCCGCGGUAACACGUAAGUUGCGAGCGUUGUUCGGAAUUAUUGGGCGUAAAGGGCAUGUAGGCGGUAUUGCAAGCCUGGUGUGAAAGGCAGGGGCUCAACCUCUGGACUGCGCUGGGAACUGCGAUACUAGAGUCGCUGAGGGGCAAUCAGAAUUCCAGGUGUAGCGGUGAAAUGCGUAGAUAUUGGGAGGAACACCAGUGGCGAAGGCGGCCUGCUGGACAUUAAACUGACGCUGAGGAGCG